This 233-nucleotide long non-coding RNA is filed under the name Capsicum annuum. RNAcentral describes it as "long non-coding RNA (CANN_LNC011324)". Lineage: Eukaryota; Viridiplantae; Streptophyta; Magnoliopsida; Solanales; Solanaceae. The record is from RNAcentral.
AUCAUUUCAAGAUUCAAUCCACAUCUUUCAAUCUUCUCGACCUUAUACCUGCAAAUUGUAGAUAUUAGUGCAUCCAAUCAUAACUAUGUCUCAUAUAUUUAUUCAAAAUAAGGUAAUGUGCAUGAAUAAUGAGUACGAAAGGUGGUAAAAUCACCACUCAUCAAUACCCCCAACUUAAGGAAAUUGCUUGUCUUCAAGCAUUAUUACGUCUCACCAUGAGACAUAUUCAUUUA